AAUCUUUAGGCCGAGCGGUUAUGGCGCUAGUUUCAGGUACUAGUUCGAAAGAGCGUGGGUUCGAAUCCCACAGUCAUCA
Non-coding RNA from Phialocephala subalpina, 79 nucleotides. NCBI's taxonomy places the organism in Eukaryota, Fungi, Ascomycota, Leotiomycetes, Helotiales, Mollisiaceae. The record is from the annotation of a GenBank genome assembly.